UACGAAGGGGGCUAGCGUUGUUCGGAAUCACUGGGCGUAAAGCGCACGCAGGCGGAUAAAUAAGUCAGGGGUGAAAUCCCGGGGCUCAACCUCGGAAUUGCCUUUGAUACUGUUUAUCUCGAGUUCGGGAGAGGUUGGCGGAAUUCCUAGUGUAGAGGUGAAAUUCGUAGAUAUUAGGAAGAACACCAGUGGCGAAGGCGGCCAACUGGCCCGAUACUGACGCUCAUGUGCGAAAGCGUGGGGAGCAAACAGG
RNAcentral lists this ribosomal RNA (253 nucleotides) under uncultured bacterium. RNAcentral's name for it is "partial 16S ribosomal RNA". It matches the Rfam family "Bacterial small subunit ribosomal RNA", at positions 524 to 776 of the family's 1533-position model. The record is from RNAcentral.